This is a long non-coding RNA of Pseudophryne corroboree (corroboree frog), 830 nucleotides long. RefSeq lists it as uncharacterized. The transcript is spliced from 3 exons. NCBI's taxonomy places the organism in Eukaryota, Metazoa, Chordata, Amphibia, Anura, Myobatrachidae. The record is from RefSeq and is a predicted model, not a curated record.
UCCCAAUGUGCUGGGCGCGAUUGACUGUACCCACGUGCAGAUCAGACCGCCACGGAAUUCAGAGGAAUGUUUUCGGAACCGAAAACAGUUCCAUUCCCUGAACGUGCAGGCGGUCUGUGAUGUAAACAUGAGAUUUUUGAACAUUUUUGUGGGAUUUCCUGGAUCAUCUCACGACUCCUUCAUCCUAAGCCAGUCAUCGCUGUUUGACAAGUUUGAAACAGGAAACAUGCCUGGUGGCUGGCUGUUAGGCGAUGCGGGUUAUCCAAACAAACCGUGGCUGUUGACCCCAUUGUCUAAUCCUGUUGGUAGAGCAGAAAAACGUUACCAAGAGACACACAUUGCAUCGAGGGGAGUAAUUGAGCGUGCCUUCGGUGUACUUAAAAGCCGGUUUCGAUGUUUAGACACUUCCGGCGGUGCUCUUUUGUACUCACCGUCGAAGGUUUGCGGCAUGGUAAAUGCAUGUUGUAUUUUACACAACAUAUGUGUCGCAAACCGUUUGCCGGUGACUCUUCGUCGCAGUGCUUUCCGACGCGGGAACCGGUCUUCUGCUCUACCGGUGGGUAUGGACGAAGGAGAGGAUUCCCGGCGGACAUUGAUCCAAAAUUAUUUUGCAGUUGCCUAGUUUUACAUCCUGUUGAUGUAUAUCCCCAGGCCAUGUUUGUACAGUUCGUUACCCCGUUUUAUCCUGUUGUUGGGUUCCCGCAAAUAUUUGAUCCUUUUAUCCAACUCUACCAUGGGUGAACCUACUGGUGAUGUGGACCUGACCCUCCGCCAUGUAGCAGACAACCCCCCCUCAGGUGAGAUGUAUUGCCCAAAACUCCCUUGUCCAA